AGACGUCUACAUAGAUACCCCCGUAGUCCCAGCCGUAAACUAUGCGCGUUAGGUGUAUCGGUGACCACGAGUCACCGAGGUGCCGAAGGGAAACCGUGAAACGUGCCGCCUGGGAAGUACGGUCGCAAGGCUGAAACUUAAAGGAAUUGGCGGGGAGCACCACAACGGGUGGAGCCUGCGGUUUAAUUGGACUCAACGCCGGGAAGCUCACCGGAUAAGACAGCGGAAUGAUUGCCGGGCUGAAGACUCUGCAUGACUAGCUG
This 263-nucleotide ribosomal RNA is filed under the name uncultured archaeon. RNAcentral describes it as "partial 16S ribosomal RNA". It matches the Rfam family "Archaeal small subunit ribosomal RNA", at positions 723 to 982 of the family's 1478-position model. The record is from RNAcentral.